Molecule: long non-coding RNA, 538 nt
Organism: Polypterus senegalus (gray bichir)
Lineage: Eukaryota; Metazoa; Chordata; Cladistia; Polypteriformes; Polypteridae
Exons: 5
Source: RefSeq, a predicted model, not a curated record
AAGCGCCUUACGUCACAUCCGGCAUGUCAGAGCAGUGCGCACAAGAACUCGGCGUUCAGGAGACGAAGAAUCAACAGACGUAGCAGCGCAAGCUGAAGAGAGAAGGAGGCUCGAAAACAGCGAAUAUGCAAGAACCUGAGGAGGAAGGAGAGUCGUCAAGGAAGAAAAGCAAACCUGAAAAUAUUGUGUCUAAAUCCAAAAAAAAAAAGCACACGCAGAAGAGAACGACGUGCUAUAGAUAAAGGCACACGCAAACAGACGAGACAACAGUUCAGUGAAUCAGAGAGGAACAUGAGGAACAUGAACACCGAUACUGGCAACGUGGUAUGUCAUUGACUUAUUUCUGUGCUUUAUUAUACUCCUUAAAACUGUAUACACGUUAACAACUAAUCUCUUAAAGGCCAAGCAAUGUCCGAGUGAAUUGAUGAGACGCUUAAACAAGACAGAGAUCCGCGUUGGGAAAUACACGAUCUCCUCGGACGCACUGGACAGUCUAAAAGACAAGGAAUGGCUGGAUGAUGCAGUCAUUAAUGGAUAU